Haliotis rubra (blacklip abalone) is the source of this 267-nucleotide long non-coding RNA. RefSeq lists it as uncharacterized. The record is from RefSeq and is a predicted model, not a curated record. NCBI's taxonomy places the organism in Eukaryota, Metazoa, Mollusca, Gastropoda, Lepetellida, Haliotidae. The transcript is spliced from 2 exons.
AAGAGGUGGACCAGAUAGACAUUACCUGCCUACCAAGUGACACUGGAUCACCCUUCAAGGAAUUAGAUGGAAGAACACUUAAAGACCACGUUGCACUUGAGAGACCUGACCAAGAUGAUGGUGGGGAACCUAUCCUGUCCAUACGUUCAAGUGAAAGAGUUCCAGAUGAUCUUCACAAUGAUGCUUAUUUUAAGCUUCAAGUGGAAACAGAUAUCAUUUCAAAAGCCGAAAUAUUGGUGCAUGAGCUUGUUGGACACAGAGUGAAAA